RNAcentral lists this ribosomal RNA (257 nucleotides) under uncultured bacterium. RNAcentral's name for it is "partial 16S ribosomal RNA". It matches the Rfam family "Bacterial small subunit ribosomal RNA", at positions 524 to 776 of the family's 1533-position model. The record is from RNAcentral.
UACGGUAGGGUGCGAGCGUUAAUCGGAAUUACUGGGCGUAAAGCGUGCGCAGGCGGUCUCGCAAGUCCGAUGUGAAAUCCCCGGGCUCAACCUGGGAACUGCGUUGGAAACUACGAGGCUGGAGUACGGGCAGAGGGGGUGGAAUUCCACGGUGUAGCAGUGAAAUGCGUAGAUAUGAUGGAGGAACACCGAUGGCGGAAGGCAGCCCCUGGGCUAGUACUGACGCUCGAUGCACGAAAGCGUGGGGAGCAAACAGG